Aotus nancymaae (Ma's night monkey) is the source of this 87-nucleotide unclassified non-coding RNA. It matches the Rfam family "Y RNA". Rfam says of the family: Y RNAs are components of the Ro ribonucleoprotein particle (Ro RNP), in association with Ro60 and La proteins. The Y RNAs and Ro60 and La proteins are well conserved, but the function of the Ro RNP is not known. Lineage: Eukaryota; Metazoa; Chordata; Mammalia; Primates; Aotidae. The record is from Ensembl.
GCCUGCCAAGGGCAGCGGUGUUUACAGCUGCUCACCAGUCCCAGAGCUCUUUGUUCCCUCUCCACGGCUUCAUUUGACCAGCCUAAA